This 485-nucleotide ribosomal RNA is filed under the name uncultured bacterium. Its description in RNAcentral is "partial 16S ribosomal RNA". It matches the Rfam family "Bacterial small subunit ribosomal RNA", at positions 30 to 507 of the family's 1533-position model. The record is from RNAcentral.
AUUGAACGCUGGCGGCAGGCUUAACACAUGCAAGUCGAGCGGGGGAAGGUAGCUUGCUACCGGACCUAGCGGCGGACGGGUGAGUAAUGCUUAGGAAUCUGCCUAUUAGUGGGGGACAACAUCUCGAAAGGGAGGCUAAUACCGCAUACGUCCUACGGGAGAAAGCAGGGGAUCUUCGGACCUUGCGCUAAUAGAUGAGCCUAAGUCGGAUUAGCUAGUUGGUGGGGUAAAGGCCUACCAAGGCGACGAUCUGUAGCGGGUCUGAGAGGAUGAGCCGCCAACCUUGGAAUGGGACACGGCCCAGGCUCCCUCGGGGGGCCGCCGUGGGGGAUUUUGGGACAUGGGGGGAACCCUGAUCCAGCCAAGCCGCGUGUGUGGAGAAGGCCUUAUGGUUGUAAAGCACUUUAAGCGAGGAGAAAACUACUUUAGUUAAUACCGAGGGUUAGUUGACGUUACUCGAAGAAUAAGCACCGGCUAACUCCGUG